UACGAAGGGUGCAAGCGUUACUCGGAAUUACUGGGCGUAAAGCGUGCGUAGGUGGUUUGUUAAGUCUGAUGUGAAAGCCCUGGGCUCAACCUGGGAAUUGCAUUGGAUACUGGCAGGCUAGAGUGCGGUAGAGGGUAGUGGAAUUCCCGGUGUAGCAGUGUAAUGCGUAGAGAUCGGGAGGAACAUCCGUGGCGAAGGCGACUACCUGGACCAGCACUGACACUGAGGCACGAAAGCGUGGGGAGCAAACAGG
RNAcentral lists this ribosomal RNA (253 nucleotides) under uncultured bacterium. Its description in RNAcentral is "partial 16S ribosomal RNA". It matches the Rfam family "Bacterial small subunit ribosomal RNA", at positions 524 to 776 of the family's 1533-position model. The record is from RNAcentral.